CAGACAGACAGGGAAAUG
This 18-nucleotide unclassified non-coding RNA is filed under the name Mus musculus (house mouse). Its description in RNAcentral is "oocyte_clustered_small_RNA10261". Lineage: Eukaryota; Metazoa; Chordata; Mammalia; Rodentia; Muridae. The record is from RNAcentral.